This 504-nucleotide ribosomal RNA is filed under the name uncultured bacterium. RNAcentral describes it as "bacterial SSU rRNA". It matches the Rfam family "Bacterial small subunit ribosomal RNA", at positions 17 to 518 of the family's 1533-position model. The record is from RNAcentral.
UUAUGGCUCAGGAUGAACGCUAGCUACAGGCUUAACACAUGCAAGUCGAGGGGUAGCAGGGUAGCAAUACCGCUGACGACCGGCGCACGGGUGAGUAACACGUAUCCAACCUUCCCAUAACUCAGGGAUAGCCUUUCGAAAGAAAGAUUAAUACCUGAUAGUACUUUUUCAAGGCAUCUUGAGAAAGUUAAAGAUUUAUUGGUUAUGGAUGGGGAUGCGUUCCAUUAGAUAGUUGGUGAGGUAACGGCUCACCAAGUCUUCGAUGGAUAGGGGUUCUGAGAGGAAGGUCCCCCACAUUGGUACUGAGACACGGACCAAACUCCUACGGGAGGCAGCAGUGAGGAAUAUUGGUCAAUGGGCGAGAGCCUGAACCAGCCAAGUAGCGUGAAGGAUGAGGGUCCUAUGGAUUGUAAACUUCUUUUAUAGUAGAAUAAAGUGAUCCACGUGUGGAUUUUUGUAUGUAUACUAUGAAUAAGGAUCGGCUAACUCCGUGCCAGCCGCAGC